UCUUGCAAUUGGGUCGUUGCGAUUACGGGUUGGCUGUCCUCCAGCCCGUGAACUUAGCGGAUACUAUGAUAGC
This 73-nucleotide transfer RNA is filed under the name Saccharum spontaneum (wild sugarcane). Its description in RNAcentral is "tRNA-Ala". RNAcentral also lists the same sequence under 1 other name. The record is from RNAcentral. Lineage: Eukaryota; Viridiplantae; Streptophyta; Magnoliopsida; Poales; Poaceae.